UACGUAGGGUGCGAGCGUUAAUCGGAAUUACUGGGCGUAAAGCGUGCGCAGGCGGUUCGUUAAGUCAAAUGUGAAAGCCCCGGGCUCAACCUGGGAACUGCAUUUGAAACUGGCGGGCUUGAGUAUGGCAGAGGGGGGUGGAAUUCCGCGUGUAGCAGUGAAAUGCGUAGAGAUGCGGAGGAACACCGAUGGCGAAGGCAGCCCCCUGGGCCAAUACUGACGCUCAGGCACGAAAGCGUGGGGAGCAAACAGG
RNAcentral lists this ribosomal RNA (253 nucleotides) under uncultured bacterium. RNAcentral's name for it is "partial 16S ribosomal RNA". It matches the Rfam family "Bacterial small subunit ribosomal RNA", at positions 524 to 776 of the family's 1533-position model. The record is from RNAcentral.